AUUGAAUUAGCAGCAUCCUCAAUUUUCUCAUCUCCUCCUUCUUCCUCCUCUUAUCUCAAAUUCCCAUUGUUUCCCAAUUCAAUUAAACUCCAAAAUUACAAUCAUUCUCUUAAUCUUUCUCUGAAAUCCAUUCUAUAUCCUCUUCCUCUUCCUUCAAGAAAACAAUGCACCCAACUUCACUGCUCAGCAGUUGAAGUCACUGAACCUGUAACAGUACAAGAAGAGAAAACAGAGAAACCCCAGAAAAAUAAUCAAAGAAGAAAGCUUUUUGUUCUAAACUUACCAUGGU
RNAcentral lists this unclassified non-coding RNA (289 nucleotides) under Hevea brasiliensis (rubber tree). Lineage: Eukaryota; Viridiplantae; Streptophyta; Magnoliopsida; Malpighiales; Euphorbiaceae. The record is from RNAcentral.